Molecule: ribosomal RNA, 545 nt
Filed under: Hercostomoides indonesianus
Lineage: Eukaryota; Metazoa; Arthropoda; Insecta; Diptera; Dolichopodidae
Description: partial 12S ribosomal RNA
Source: RNAcentral
CGAUGAACCUUACUUAAUUUUAUAAUUUAAUUUGUAUAUCGCUGUUAUUUGAAAAUUUUAUAAGAAAAAUAAUUUUCUAAAAUUUUUAUUAAAAAAUAAAUCAAGUCAAGGUGCAGUUUAUAAUUAAGAAAUAUAUGGGUUACAAUAAAUUUAUUUAAACGGAAUAAUAAAUGCAAUUAUUUUUAUAAAGGUGGAUUUGAUAGUAAAUUUUUAUAGAUAAAAAAAUUGAUUUUAGCUCUAAAAUAUGUACACAUCGCCCGUCGCUCUUGUUAAUAAUAUAAGAUAAGUCGUAACAUAGUAGAUGUACUGGAAAGUGUAUCUAGAAUAUCAAUUUAAAGCUUAUUAAGUAAAGUAUUUCAUUUACAUUGAAAUGAUUAUUGUGCAAAUCAAUAUAAAUUGAUAAAAUUUAAUUAUUAAUUUUUUUUUUUUAUAAAUAUUUUAUUAAAAAUAAUUAUAAAURUUAUUUUGUUGUAGUAUUUUUUAAAAAAAUAAUAAUUUUUAUUAUAGUUUAAUAUUAAUGUAAAUGAAAUUGAAAUAAAGUGAAA